UUGUUUAUGAACCUAUAGAAUGAGAAAAUUACACUUUUGGUCCUAUGACUAUUGAGCUCUUAUUAAUUUCAGUACUCGACAUUAAAAACUAACAAUUUAGUCCCAUAACUAUGCAAUUUUUAGCACAUUUAGUCCUUCCGGUCAAAUGUUGCCGGAAAAACGUAAAUAUUUUUAAAUUGU
Molecule: long non-coding RNA, 180 nt
Organism: Ipomoea nil (Japanese morning glory)
Lineage: Eukaryota; Viridiplantae; Streptophyta; Magnoliopsida; Solanales; Convolvulaceae
Exons: 3
Source: RefSeq, a predicted model, not a curated record